AACGAACGCUGGCGGCAUGCCCAACACAUGCAAGUCGAACGAAGGCUUCGGCCUUAGUGGCGCACGGGUGCGUAACGCGUGGGAAUCUGCCCUUUGGUUCGGAAUAACAGCUGGAAACGGCUGCUAAUACCGGAUGAUGACGAAAGUCCAAAGAUUUAUCGCCAGAGGAUGAGCCCGCGUUGGAUUAGGUAGUUGGUGGGGUAAAGGCCUACCAAGCCGACGAUCCAUAGCUGGUCUGAGAGGAUGAUCAGCCACACUGGGACUGAGACACGGCCCAGACUCCUACGGGAUGCAGCAGUGCGGAAUAUUGGACAAUGGGCGCAAGCCUGAUCCAGCAAUGCCGCGUGAGUGAUGAAGGCCCUAGGGUUGUAAAGCUCUUUUACCCGGGAAGAUAAUGACUGUACCGGGAGAAUAAGCCCCGGCUAACUCCGUG
Molecule: ribosomal RNA, 433 nt
Filed under: uncultured bacterium
Lineage: Bacteria
Description: partial 16S ribosomal RNA
Rfam family: Bacterial small subunit ribosomal RNA
Source: RNAcentral